Molecule: long non-coding RNA, 323 nt
Organism: Oncorhynchus keta (chum salmon)
Lineage: Eukaryota; Metazoa; Chordata; Actinopteri; Salmoniformes; Salmonidae
Exons: 3
Source: RefSeq, a predicted model, not a curated record
GUGAGAGGAGGAGAAGAACAAUAAGGUGGGAGGAGAAGAAGAACAAUAAGGUGGGAGGAGAAGAAGAAUAAUAAGGUGGGAGGAGAAGAAGAAUAAUAAGGUGGGAGGUGAAGAAGAAUAAUACGGUGGGAGGAGAAGAAGAAUAAUAAGGUGGGAGGAGAAGAAGAAUAAUAAGUUGAGAGGAGGAGAAGAAUAAGGUGGGAGAAGAAGAAGAAUAAGGUGGGAGGAGAAGAAGAAUAAUAAGGUGGGAGGAGAAGAAGAAUAAUAAGGUGGGAGGAGGAGAAGAAGAACAAGGUGGGAGGAGGAGGAGAAGAACAAGGUGG